Equus caballus (horse) is the source of this 4996-nucleotide long non-coding RNA. The record is from Ensembl. NCBI's taxonomy places the organism in Eukaryota, Metazoa, Chordata, Mammalia, Perissodactyla, Equidae.
GUGAUUCUAGCAAGAAGGCUUAACUCUCUACCAUAGUGUAUUAAGGGGCUGCUGCCAUCUAGGGGGGCAUAGCAAAUGAGUCGAGCAAGAAGAGGUGUUGCCAUGGUGUUUGAGUAAUGUCCAUGGGGUAAGUGAGCCACUGCCAGGCGCCAGCUGAGCUGAGUGGUUUGGUAGAGUGUGGGUGGUGGCUGGUUCAGGUGAUGUAUCACAGGUACCUUGAGUCAGACAAGUGAGUGGGUGGCCUGGGUGGCUUGGGAGCCAUUUUGGCUUCAUCACAGCACAAGACUGUGUCCUGUCCUCAUAAGACAGCACUGUAUGGUGUGUACAAAAGAAGCAGAAGGGUAUAGUGAGGCCCCAGAGGUGUGUUGUCCUGGUAAUUGCAGCUUUGAAGUUUGAAAGGGCAAACAAGGAAAUGGAUUUAAACACUCAUUCAACACCUACUUACUAAGCGCCUGUUAUGUGUCAGGUGUUGUUAGGCGUUGGGAGUAAAUACAGUAGUGUACACCACCAGGUGUCUGCCCUUGUGGAGCUUAUACUUCUGAGAGACAAAUAUGAAAGAUAGGAAUAAUGUGCUAUGAAGAGAAAUAGAGCGGGCAGGAGGCAAGAGGGUGAAGAGAGAGAGCCUUUUAGCCAGAGCCUGCACAUACUGUUGUACAGGUUGUCCACUGCACAACUCAACAAGUUUGUGAAUUAUGACAGUUUUCUGCCUAGUGGCAAGAAUACAUUUUGAUAUAGUGACUUUUUAAUUUAGGUUAAUUUAAAUUUAACAGUGCACUGAUUGGGCUAGUAAUGAAGCUGGUGGUUUCUGAGGAGGUGACAUUGAGCUGAGACCUAAAGGAUGAAAAGGAGCUAUCCCUUCUCACCAGUCUGUAUUAGACACUAUUUAUCACAAGAUGACACUUAUUUUAAAAGAGAAAACUGUAGUUUGUAGAGCAGCCCUGACCAUGACCUGACAACAUCCCCAGAGAUUUCUGCCUUCAGCUGCUGGGGGCAGCAGGAGGGAAGUGGCUGGAUGGGAACCUGUUGUAGUCCAGGCUGAGAUUUUCUGACCAGAGCCUCAUGCCUCCACCCGAGCAGCAGGACAUGGCUAGAGAAAUUGACACAACUGUACUAAUAGGGACUCGUUCAUGCAAACGUCAAAUCGACCAUAGUUACUGCCAGACACUCCCUUCUGCUUCUUGAGGUUCUUUCUCUGGCUUCAAAAGGACUGAUUCACAUGGUCUCUUCUCACAUUGCCAGCACCUCCCCUCCAGAACUCUAGCAUUCUGAUGACCUUGCCUAGUAAUACUUCCGAGUGCAAUCAGACAAGAUCAGAUCUUUCUUCCUGCCACCACGUCCACUAACCUUUCUGCAGCUGUAUCUAUGUCAACCUCUGCAGUUAGAUUAUUCCCAGUAGCAUAGAAACAUGGCUCCAGUAUCUUCAAUCCUAAAAACAAACUCCUUUGAGCUCACAGCCCCCUUAAGUGUCUGCCUCUUUUCUGUGUUCCUCUUAGCAAAACUCCUUCAAAAAACUGUUAUCUGUUCUCCGUCCAUCUUCUCAUAUUACACUCUUCUCACACCAUUCUACUGAAAUAAUUGGCUUUAUCAAAGUUUUUAUGUUGCCAAACAUAGUAGAUCUUUUUUACUUUAUUAAAUUCCAGUUUUUAGCAUUUGAAGCAAUUGGCCAAAACAAUUUUCUGGAAAUAAUUUCUUUCCUUUUGUACCAUUACACUAGAUUUGCUUGUUUUCUUCCUCUCCUUUUGACUGCUACUUCCUAAAUCCCUUUGCUAAUUCUUCCUGUCCUUUAAAUGUUAGAGCGGCUCAGUGCUUAGGUCUUUCUCUACCUAGGUGAUCUCAUCUAGUCUCAUCUACAUGCCGAAGAGUCCCCAGUUUAUAUCCUUAGCCCAACUUCUCCCCUAAGCUCCAAAAUUAUUUAUCCAACUGCCUCCUUGACGUGACUCACGUGUCUAACAUGCGUCUCAAACUGAAUUCCUGAUCUCCUCCCACCCGAACUCCUGGUGUUCUCUAUUUCGGUAAAUAGUACCACCGUUCACACGGUUAGCCUCCACAUGUAGCCCAUUAGCUAGACCUCCAAAUACAUCUUUCCCCUCAUUUCCACUGCCCUUGCCCUAGUUCGAGCCUCCUAAAAGAUUUUACUACUUCCCUCCCCCUCCAAUCCAUUCUCCACAGAGUGAUCUUUCUAAACCGUACAUCAGAUAAUGCCACUUGCGGCUUACCCUCCAUCCCCUGAGGUUGCUUAAUGCAAAUAGAAUAAAAUCCAGCGUUCUUAAGAUGCCCCCCAAAAAGCUCUUCAUGAUUUGGUCCUUACCUUCAUCUCUUUUCACUCUCCCCCCAUUCGUUAAGCUCUAACGAUGCUGGCCUUGCUCUUCCUGGAAGAUUCCAAGUUCAUUCUUACCUUAGAGCCUUUGCAUGUGCUCUACUCGAACACUUCUCCCACUUUCCAUGGCGGGUACUUCUUCAGCAGGUUUCUGCUUAAAUGUAUGGCUGCCCCUCGCCCCCGCUCCCUCCUUCACUUUCUAGAUCAACUCUUAUUUUCUUCACAGUACCUAUCUACCUAAAAUUCUCUCAUUUGUGCUUAUCACAUUUAACCCACUAGCAGACAAACUCCCUGAGGGCAGAAGUCCUUUUUCUGUCUUGUUUACCACUUCCUACAACUAAGGAGGGCAGAGAGGGUACCAGAUACAUAUUCAUUGACUGCCUGGCGCUGUCCACACUGGCAGCUUUCUGGGCCUGUUAGUGAGUCAUUGGCUGGGCCUGGACUCGAGAUUCUCCUGGGGAAAUCCUUGCCACUCAGUGGCCCCUUGGCAGACAGGCCUUCCUGACUGGGCAUUAAGCAGUCACAAACUGGCACUUGGCUUGUAGGACAUACUCAAGUCAUAUUUGCACUCCACUCACUCAGGUCUCCCUGAGUCUGGCUCCUGUAAUGCUCAGCAUCUCAGGGCCUAUCCUGGAGCUCCAUAGGCAGCCAGCUGGCAGGCCCAGCUGCGCUCUUCCAGACAGAUUGCCCUCUCUGGUGAUCUUUAACCCAGUGUGCUGGCUCCAGAUGCCACGUUGGUACUGGGGUCCUCUGGAAUCGCACAGGGGCAGAUGGGUGGGAGGACAUACCGGGAGAUGGUAGGUCAUGCCUGUCAUGGCUUUGUUAUCUGCAAAAGAGCCCUUGAUGCACUGCACUGUCCUGCUCCUGACUGAGUCUACCCAGCCCCUGUUGCCAGGGCUUGCUGUGUGUGAACUCAAUUUCACAGAAGGACAUUGUGGCCCACAGGGCUGGAGGCUACUUCCAGGGUCACACUGUGGGUGUGUGAUCAAGCUGCACUGGCAUUCAGCCUUUGAUGGCUAGACCAGGGAUCUGGACAGGAGAGAGGGCAGCUUCUGGAGGCAUCUCAGUGAGGGGGCAGGCCCACUGAAGAUGCUCUCUUUGGAUGGCCGUCUGGCUGUUUGGCACCAUCUGCUGGCUGGAGCCGAUCAGUGCUGGUAGUUCUUGGGGAUUGGCCGGGACCAGACUGUAGCGCAACCCCAUUCCUGUGCCUUCCUUUGCUGGGCCCACUGUGGCCACUCUGAGACCACAGAGGGCACCCACAUAUCCCCACAGACUUUCCCUCUGGGGAAGAGGGUGGAACAAAAGCUUUGACUCAUCUGUGGUGAGUCAGCCAGACCUAGGUUCAAAUUCCACCUCCCCAUUUCCCUGCUGUGUGGCCCGGGGUAGGUUACAUAACCUAUCUCAGCCUCAUGGCCAGGCCCUCUCUGACAACUCUCCACUCCAGCCUGGCGUCCUGGUUCUCUGAUGGUGCUGGGUGCAGAAUGGGUCAGGAAGUUUUCUCCUCUACCAUUUGGGUGGGGAUGCCACUUCUGCCUAAAGCUUCCAUGGCAGCUUCCUGGGGAGGCACUGCACUGGCUGGCUGAGGUAGAAGCAAGGAAGCUGACAAGUGGCCCUUUCUGCAGCUUUGUCCAAGGCCUCAUUUGGACUCUUGGGCCCCAGGCAGAUAAGUCCUCCCUGGGCACAGGGGCCUUGCAACAAUCCCCCACGUUUCCUCCCAACAUCUUCCAUUACUCCUCCAGGCUUGGCUGUGAAGGGUUGGGCAGCCAUGUGAAGGAGAGGUACAGGGGCUCAAAGUUCCUUCAGGAAUUGACACUGGCACCAUGCUAAACAUGCAACAUACAUUAUCAAAUUUUUCACCCCCCCCUUUUUAAAAUUGAAUUAUAACUGGCAUGCAGUACACAUGUAUAAUUAUAGCUCAGUGAAUUUUUAUAUAUGCAUACACCGAUGAAACUACCACCUGGAUCAAGAUAGAGAAUUUCUGGCACCCUAGAAGCUUCCCUCAUCAAUACCUGCCUCCCUGCCAAAGCCUCCCCACCCCCCUGGUACAGAGUUGUAUAUUCUAGUUGUGAGUGCCUCGGUUGUGCUAUGUGGGACGCUGCCUCAGCAUGGCCUGACGAGCAGUACCACGUCGACACCCGCAAUCCGAACCAGUGAAACCCUGGGCCGCUGAAGCGGAGCAUGCAAACUUAACCACUCAGCCAUGGGGCUGGCCCCACAAUAAGUACUCUUGUGUCUAGCUUCUUUUGUUCAACAUUAUGCCUGUGAGAUUCAUCCAUGUUAUCCUUAUGUCAGUAGUUUCUUUUUCAUUGCUGUUUAGUAUUCUAUUGUAUGAAUACUAUACGACAGUUUUAUUUUGUUCACUUUACAGUUGAUGGCUUUGUUAUUUCUAGUUUAGUCUCAUGAAUAAAGUUGCUGUGAACAUCCUUAAACAUAUCUUUUGGUGGACAUAAGGAUUUAUUCCUGUUGGGUGUUUGUCCAGAAUUGGAAUUACUGAGCCAUUGGGUAUAGGUAUGUUUAGGUUUAGUAGAUUUUAGCCAAUUUUCUGAAGUGUGCCAGUUUGAACUCCCACCAGCAAUGUGCGAGAGUUCCAAUUGUUCCACAGUCUUGUCAACACUUGAUAUUGUCAUUCUCUUUUUUUUGUUUGUUUUUGGGUGGGGGGUGGUUUGAGGAAGAUUAGCC